This is a long non-coding RNA of Ricinus communis (castor bean), 838 nucleotides long. RefSeq lists it as uncharacterized. The transcript is spliced from 2 exons. NCBI's taxonomy places the organism in Eukaryota, Viridiplantae, Streptophyta, Magnoliopsida, Malpighiales, Euphorbiaceae. The record is from RefSeq and is a predicted model, not a curated record.
AUCAAAAUUCUAAAUAAAGUCGUUGCUAUUGCCACUGCAUAUAGUUUCAGAUAAGACAAAUCAAUCAGAUUGUAACUAGUUAAAAAGUAGCUGGAAAUAGUGGAGGUGAAAGUCCUAUAGAACUCAGUCUCUCUAUUUAUAUCCUCCCAUAUUCUUCCUUAUCUAUGAAGCUUCAGUUGAAGAGUAAUAAAGAAAGAAACAAAGAAAAGUUCCCGAGAAGAUGAUGAAGAAUUCAAAGGCUUAAGCAUACAAGCAAAAACCAUUCACCUCUACAUAUUGAGUACUAUAUGUAUAUAAUUAUCCUGCGCCAGUAAUAGUUGAAGCUGCCAGCAUGAUCUGGAGCUUUUCUAUCCAGGAGAGACUAGAUCAUGUGGCAGUUUCACCUGUUGAUGGUAGCAUGAAAAGAAACCCUAAUCGGCAUAAACCCUAGUUUCCUUUUCCGAUCUAUUUCUCAUUCCCCACUCGAGCUUUUAUCAUGGAAAUACUCUAGAUCAUGAUCAGGCACCGGAGUUCUUUUGAGGACCAUCAUGUACAUGUACGUGCCCACAAAUUGUAAGGCACUGUUUUCUGUCCACCUUGGACCAUGGCUAUCUUUUUCGUUUUCCAAGCAAUUCAGCCUGAACUUCGUAUAUAUCAAAAAUGUGGUACCAACUCUUUGUGAAAUAGACACAACAAAAACAACUGGAAUGAGUUUGAACAUUAUCUUUUAACCAAACUUUCAUAUUUUUUUUUCAAGUAGAUGAUGGUUUCUGUGGUCUAAAUAAAUCAAAACAAACGAAUGGCUCUUUGUUUCUAGUAUGUUUGGUCUCAUUUAAUAUAUAUCAAAUUCUUUUAUUUC